RNAcentral lists this ribosomal RNA (632 nucleotides) under Syngaster lepidus. Its description in RNAcentral is "eukaryotic LSU rRNA". It matches the Rfam family "Eukaryotic large subunit ribosomal RNA", at positions 386 to 798 of the family's 3401-position model. The record is from RNAcentral. Lineage: Eukaryota; Metazoa; Arthropoda; Insecta; Hymenoptera; Braconidae.
CCUGAGAAACCCAAAAGAUCGAAUGGGGAGAUUCAUCGUCAGCUCAUUUUGUAUAUGUAUUAGUUAUGAUGCGGGUUACUACUUGUAGUAUUGCCUGUACAUACUUUUACAUUUAUUUGCAUUAUGUUGUCGGCGUGCACUUCUCCCCUAGUAGGACAUCGCGACCCAUUGGGUGUCGGUCUACGACCAAAGUUGGAGCCUUUAAUAUUUAAAUAUAUUAAAGACACUUUGUGUUUUCUGACCGGCUGCCCGGUGGUACUCGUACGGUAUUAAGCCGCAAUUAUAUUUGCGUUCAUAAUCGUCACAAGCGGGGCUAAUUUCUGGUAGUACGGACCUAGUGCCGUCGCUGGAGUUAACCAGCUGUUGGUUGUUACGAUAUUUUAGAACUGGCUUAAAAUUAAUUUACCGGUCGGCGAUGCUACUGCUUUGGGUACUUUCAGGACCCGUCUUGAAACACGGACCAAGGAGUCUAACAUGUGCGCAAGUCAUUGGGAUUUUUUAAAAAUUAAACCUAAAGGCGUAAUGAAAGUAAAGGUUGUCCUUGCGUCAACCUAGGGAGGAUAAAUUGUAUUAUGAUACAGUUUCGCACUCCCGGGGCGUCUCAUUCUCAUUAUGAGAAGAGGCGCACCUAG